GGGGUUGUGGCUCAGCGUUAGAGCGCUUGCCUAACAUGUGAGAGGCUUGCCUAACAUGUGAGAGGCCCUGGGUUCGAUCCUCAGCACCACA
This 91-nucleotide transfer RNA is filed under the name Marmota monax (woodchuck). RNAcentral describes it as "tRNA.Val". The record is from RNAcentral. Lineage: Eukaryota; Metazoa; Chordata; Mammalia; Rodentia; Sciuridae.